CGCUANGCUNCUNNNNGCUUAAUNANGCAAGUCGUAACANNGUAACCGUAAAUUGUUGCUGGGUGGACGAGUGACGNANGGNUGAGUAACGCGUGAGUAACCUGCCCCUGAUUUCGGGAUAAGCCUGGGAAACUGGGUCUAAUACCGGAUACGACCACCUGACGCAUGUUGGGUGGUGGAAAGUUUUUCGAUCGGGGAUGGGCUCGCGGCCUAUCAGCUUGUUGGUGGGGUAAUGGCCUACCAAGGCGACGACGGGUAGCCGGCCUGAGAGGGCGACCGGCCACACUGGGACUGAGACACGGCCCAAACUCCUACGGGAGGCAGCAGUGGGGAAUAUUGCACAAUGGGGGAAACCCUGAUGCAGCGACGCAGCGUGCGGGAUGACGGCCUUCGGGUUGUAAACCGCUUUCAGCAGGGAAGAAGCGAAAGUGACGGUACCUGCAGAAGAAGUACCGGCUAACUACGUGCCAGCAGCCGCGGUAAUACGUAGGGUACGAGCGUUGUCCGGAAUUAUUGGGCGUAAAGAGCUCCGUAAGUGGUUGGUCACGUCUGCUGUGGAAACGCCACGCUUAACUU
RNAcentral lists this ribosomal RNA (576 nucleotides) under Brevibacterium sp. HPC695. Its description in RNAcentral is "partial 16S ribosomal RNA". It matches the Rfam family "Bacterial small subunit ribosomal RNA", at positions 34 to 615 of the family's 1533-position model. Lineage: Bacteria; Bacillati; Actinomycetota; Actinomycetes; Micrococcales; Brevibacteriaceae. The record is from RNAcentral.